CCCUGCUGUUUUGUCACGCUGUUCCUCCUGUCAGCAGACAAAGCUGCCACAGAUACAGCCUGUAUAUGGAGACUGACACCUCUCGCUGGGGGACUUGGGUAAACACAACACGCACCUGUAUGAUUGACGCCGAGGCGCUUUUGCCUGGUUGCGUUGCCUCUGAGAACCAUGUGAGUGUGGCAGAAGUGUGCACUGUACAGACACCUACACUGUCAGGGGAAGAAGUUUGACUCAAAGAAUGUCUCACAGGGGAUCGUCAACUUCUUCUCGUGCUGCAGAGACGACAGUGACGAUGAUGAUGAGCUCCAGUAAUCCCCAUGAUGAGCUGAUCAUUGCUUCUCAGCAGAUCUCUGGGUGUACGUGUAAACAAAGGCCAGCUACAGUCUGAUGACUUCCUGUUCCCCAGUGUUUCCAGCUCCUCUGAUUACCCUACAGUGCCUCACCUGUGUCUUGUUAUCCUCACUCCCUUAGUGUAUUUAAGCCCAGCUUCUCUUCCCUCCUAAGCCAGUUUUGUCUUUUUCCCUGUAACAGCGUUCCGGCAUUCCUCAUUUUUCUGACCUGUAGUGUUGUGUUUUCAGACUGAGUUUUUGGAUACCUCUGCCUGUAUUUUUUGACUACCUAUAUACGGAACCUACAUUAAACAGACUUUCAACUUUG
Molecule: long non-coding RNA, 657 nt
Organism: Notolabrus celidotus (New Zealand spotty)
Lineage: Eukaryota; Metazoa; Chordata; Actinopteri; Labriformes; Labridae
Exons: 2
Source: RefSeq, a predicted model, not a curated record